Molecule: long non-coding RNA, 1583 nt
Organism: Cyanistes caeruleus (blue tit)
Lineage: Eukaryota; Metazoa; Chordata; Aves; Passeriformes; Paridae
Source: RefSeq, a predicted model, not a curated record
UGCAGCCAGGGCCAGCCAGGCCUGAGGGCCCCUCUCAGCUGGGGCUCCUCUCCAGGCUGAGCAGCCCCAGCUCCCGCAGCCUUUCCUGGCCACUGAGAUGCUCCAGGCCCUUCAGGAUUGUUGUCACCAUCAAUAUGCUCAUGAGCAUCCCAAAUAAGACCAACACGUUCCAGGCCUUUCCCAUUCCACACGUGCUGGGCUUGGCCCACCACCCACCUCAGCAACACCCUGGAGCCCCAUUUGCAUGGCCAGAACUGGCCUGCUCAAACACAGCUUGAUUUGCCUAAGAUAGAGCUUAAAAAACAGUUACAAAAGUGGUUCCCAACAUAUUCUCCCUGUUUACUGACUAUUCUGCUUUUUCCACCUAAAGUAAAAGGUAUCAGCUUUGAGAAAUGAUAGUAGCAGUGAUGCCAGGCGGUGACCUGAGCUUCCCUCUUCCCUAAGGCUCACCAUGACUUGAAGCUUGAGGAUGUCCACAGGGGUGCCCAUGAGGGCCCUACCAGACUACAAGAGUGAACAAUUUUAAUAAUUUAAUGAUUCUCCAUGAGAAGUGAACCAUGUCAGGCUGGAUCAUCCCAAAAGAGGGAUCUUGAAGCCCAGCGUCAUGUGGAAAAACAAAGGAGGAAAACCUGGGGACAAGCAUUGACCACUUCAACACCAGGCUGACAGCAAGGAAAAUUCGCUUAUUUGUGAUGCAUUCCAUCUCACAUCCUGUAAACCUGGUGCAAAACUGCAUUCCCAGGUGGAAAGGAGCACCACAACAUCCUCCCUGGCAACUCUUCCUCCCCCUUUAAUUUCCUACGCAAAAAUUCCAAGCUUCCCUUUCUCUGACAUUUGAUUUGCCUGUAACACUACAACUUUGAAACAGCAAAUCUCAUCAGCUCCAAAAUCCACAGGAUUGGGACCUACAAUGGCAUCAAUUGCUUCAGCUUUGUCACAGUUCUGAAUGUCUAAGUCAUUCCCCCCAAAAGUUUUUAGCCUGUCUUGCACUGCCAUGACAUCUUCUCCCAUCUGCUGGGAUUCAAUACUCUCCAUUUUAUUUGCUGUGCCAACAGGAGUUGAAUUUCUACUCCAAAUAAAUUCUCUAUUUGACACAAAACUCAUAAAAAGUCAUGGAGAAGGUUUAGAUCAGGAAUGGGUAGUUGAGAAUGGAGAAAUCCCAGUGGAAAUGAGAGUACAAAGGGAGAAGGAUGGGGUGAAGGACACAGGAACCUCACAAGCCAAGUCUCCGGUGUGGCUGGAGAGGAAGGACCCAGGGACGCAAAGUAGAGGAGAGCCAGCUGAGAGCAAAAUGAAUCUGUAAUUAAUUUAUGGCCUUGAAUUAAUGCUGAUGGAUCAGCUGUGACAAGAAUUAGAGCUGGAGAUGCAAAGUGAGAUGCAUCCGGAUGCAGGGAGAACAUGCCACAGCAGAAGUGGGUGAAUCAUCCAGUGAGACACAGGCCAAGAGGAGGUGGAAGCAGGGUAGGACUGGAAAGCAAACUUCUAGAGAAUACUAAGCUGCCAGUGUGAGAAAAGGAGUGGGACAUUGGAAGGGAGUGUUCAAAGUGGAAGAAAAUGAGACAUACAGAGUUUAGGAGACAAAA